GAUGAAGAACGUAGCGAAAUGCGAUAAGUAAUGUGAAUUGCAGAAUUCAGUGAAUCAUCGAAUCUUUGAACGCCCAUUGCGUCCCUUGGUAUUCCGAGGGGCAUGCCUGUUCGAGCGUCAUUAUAACCCCUCAAGCUCAGCUUGGUAUUGGGGCCUGCCAUCCUGGCAGCCCUUAAAAUCAGUGGCGGUGCCAUCCGGCUCUAAGCGUAGUAACUCUUCUCGCUAUGGAGUCCUGGUGGAUGCUUGCCAUUAAUCUUUUAACUUCUAUGGUUGACCUCGGAUCAGGUAGGGAUACCCGCUGAACUUAAGCAUAUCAAUAAGCGGAGGA
Molecule: unclassified non-coding RNA, 328 nt
Filed under: soil metagenome
Description: partial contains 5.8S ribosomal RNA, internal transcribed spacer 2, and large subunit ribosomal RNA
Rfam family: 5.8S ribosomal RNA (bases 1-120)
Source: RNAcentral